RNAcentral lists this long non-coding RNA (264 nucleotides) under Medicago truncatula (barrel medic). RNAcentral's name for it is "long non-coding RNA (MTRU_LNC007619)". The record is from RNAcentral. Lineage: Eukaryota; Viridiplantae; Streptophyta; Magnoliopsida; Fabales; Fabaceae.
UUGUGGUCUAAGCGUUGUAGAAUUUCAAGGAUAAUGGCAGAUAUAUCAGCCUGGUUUUGUAUGACAGGUGAAAUAUUACUCCUCAGGCAACUAAGCUGCCAACAAGAGCUGAUGGUGUUACAAAGAAACAAUGCAUGCAGGCUAUCUUCAGGCUCGUUACAGAAAGGACAAUGCACUGGACAAGUGACUCCUCGAGUUUGCAAACGCACCCGUAUUGGAAGGCAGCCUCGAGUAGCUCUCCAUAAAAAAAAUUUGAUUCUUGGA